CAUUGAUAAAUAUAAACAUUAUAACAAGCCCAUUAACAACAAUGAAAUUUGCUUGCAGGGUUUUGCAGCACGGUCGGCAUUUAUCCAAAAUAGUGAUUAAAAAAACAUGAUUUUCUUAACAAACGUUGAAAGAUGGGAACGACCACACGUUCUCUAUGGCCAGUUAUUGGACUGGAUUAGGUGGUUGGUCGCCUGGCUGCCCUUAAUCUUGUUCCUAGUUCGAGGUAUCAAUUGGGCAUUGGGCCUUGAGUAAGUAACAUUGCCUUGUUAUCCACCAAAGUAUCAUCAGAACGCAGCAGGGGCGUUUCCCAUUUACGAAGAUGUCAAAAAAGAGCGCUUUUGAGGACGGUGCUUAUUUUCUUAUUAUAUGUGUACUUUUUUGUCAGAAAAGAUUAUUUUACAUUCACAUUUCAAGAACCUUUACACUUAUUUGUGGUCUUAUAAUUAUUUUAAAAAAUUGUAAUUCUGAGGCUUAUUUCAAUCUUCGAAAAUAAUUUUAGAAAAAGUGCUUGUAUUUCCAACAAAUCAUUAAUACAAAAAUGUCAUUAUCAUAGUGGAAGUUACGCAAGGUAUAAACUUUGCGGUUUUAUUACUCAAUUUAAACAUAAAUUUCGUAGAAGAAGGAAGUAUCUUAAGUAACAAGUUUCUUUUUUUGUGAAUAGUCGACAAAAGUGACCCGUGGUGAAUCGAGGCGGCUUUGGUUAUUCUUAUUUAUUUAAAAAUGUUAUUACUUCUUUUUAUUUAUGGAAUUCUGUAUGUAAACAAUAAUGACACAAAAGAUACAUAACCUGAAGCAAUUACACGUUUUUUUUACUUACAACAAAAAACAAUUUGAGUCGGAUUUUUACACCACCGGUCACUUUCUCAACUACUUCGCAAGAAGUGAAACAUAUUUUUUUAAAUACUUUCAAAUUUACGAAAUUACUCCCUAAAUUCAAUAAAAAAAUGUGAAAAUUUCACUCAUGAACAGUCUUUUUUUGUUGAAAACUGAGAAAUAUAAUAAAGCUGCCGGCUUGAUAAUGUGAACUGAUCUAUUUCCGUCAGCCUUUUUCAUUCGUAAGUGACAAUUAGCGAUCGAAGUGUCGCCUAGAUUUUUAACCCCAAUACAGUAACAUACUGUUUUAUAAUUUUUUUAUCUAGGCACGUUUUGGCUGCUUAUGACACAUCACUGAAUACCUAGUCUUGAGACUGUGCAGUUGUACAUUUUUGCGAUAUAGAAUAUCAAGUCGCGGUAAUGUACUUUGGUAGUGAAAGGAAUUCAUAUGUAGAGGAAAAGGACUAGUAGUUACACUUUAAAAUCUUAUUCUAUACGUACACAUGAUUAAUUUCUGCCAAUGUGAGCUUUCACAUACAAUUUUAAUUUACUUCUGUUUUUGCUUGAAGGUUUUUCAGCAUUUAUUAUUUUAAGAUUUGAACAAAAUAUUUAUGCACUUUUUCGAAAAGAAUAUUCAAUUUUUGCAUUUUAAAAAUGUCCUGAUUAUAUAAUAAUAAAUUAUAUUAUAAUAAAUUCUAGAUUUCCUUGUAAUUAAAGCGGGGAAAACGGGCAUGUACAAGCAUCUUUUGUUUUAAUUAAAAUAUGGAUAGUCGUAACUGUCGAUCUUGAAUGAAGAUUCAUUAUGAAAUAAUGUAUGUACACAUUCUAUGAUGAAAAGAAAAUAUGAACAAUCCGAAAUGAUCUUGUGAUCUCACUGUUCAUUCAUCAGUUUUCACUCGAGUGUCCGUAUUGACCAGAAAGACUCGUGAAUUUAAGCUUUCUUUUGCGUGACCCCUUCACGUCUGACUACUUUGUAAAUAUUCUAUAAUAAAGCAUUCAUCAUUUGUAAGAAUAA
Belonocnema kinseyi is the source of this 1829-nucleotide long non-coding RNA. RefSeq lists it as uncharacterized. The transcript is spliced from 2 exons. Lineage: Eukaryota; Metazoa; Arthropoda; Insecta; Hymenoptera; Cynipidae. The record is from RefSeq and is a predicted model, not a curated record.